This 29-nucleotide non-coding RNA is filed under the name Mus musculus (house mouse). The record is from RNAcentral. Lineage: Eukaryota; Metazoa; Chordata; Mammalia; Rodentia; Muridae.
UAGGUCCUCAUGAAGAAGUUGCUUUCGGG